AGUGAACGCUGGCGGUAGGCCUAACACAUGCAAGUCGAACGGCAGCACAGUAAGAGCUUGCUCUUACGGGUGGCGAGUGGCGGACGGGUGAGGAAUACAUCGGAAUCUACUUUUUCGUGGGGGAUAACGUAGGGAAACUUACGCUAAUACCGCAUACGACCUACGGGUGAAAGCAGGGGAUCUUCGGACCUUGCGCGAUUGAUUGAGCCGAUGUCGGAUUAGCUAGUUGGCGGGGUAAAGGCCCACCAAGGCGACGAUCCGUAGCUGGUCUGAGAGGAUGAUGAGCCACACUGGAGCUGAGACACGGUCCAGACUCCUACGGAAGGCAGCAGUGGGGAAUAUUGGACAAUGGGCGCAAGCCUGAUCCAGCCAUACCGCGUGGGUGAAGAAGGCCUUCGGGUUGUAAAGCCCUUUUGUUGGGAAAGAAAAGCAGCAGGUUAAUACCCCGCUGUUCUGACGGUACCCAAAGAAUAAGCACCGGCUAACUUCGUG
Molecule: ribosomal RNA, 492 nt
Filed under: uncultured bacterium
Lineage: Bacteria
Description: partial 16S ribosomal RNA
Rfam family: Bacterial small subunit ribosomal RNA
Source: RNAcentral